CUUUUCAAGUGUUGUAAAAAUUCACGGAUUUAAUUAUAUUCCCACAUCCAAGAAUUUUUACAACACUUGAAAAGGAAAUCGAAUCAAAUUGUUUCUCAUUACAGGGAAAAUAAAAUGCACAGUUGUCUCUUUGGACCAAUAAAAAGGUAGACAAAAAUUCAUCAACAACUUGGUCCAUCCCAAAGAUCUUGCCCCACACUGGGAGCUUCCCAGGACAUGGGACUAAUUUCUACCAGACAAAAAAUGAUUUUUGGGUUCUCUAAUCCAUCUAACGUCUUCGCUUCUGCCUCUGAGUUGGGAACGUGAGAGGGACAGGAAGGGUUGCCAAUAAUAACUUGUUUUCACGUACAAGCUUGCACCCCAAAUUCUCAAAAUGCACUCUUAAGUUAACAGGACUAACCUUCAGAUCUUUGGCAAUGUCUGUCGGGUCAGUCCUGAAAUCAUCAGCAUACAGAGUCAGCACUAGGACAUAACUAAUGAGAUGAUCAGUUUUCUCAAUUGGCAGCCUUCUUGAUUCUGGAGUAAAAAUCUCCACAAAUUUCUGCCGAAGAAUGCUUGGAAACCUGUGGGUCUUUGCUGAGGAUGCACCAUCCAAAGAAUGCAGAUCUUUAAACUUUAUAAGAUGAGUAAUGUAGGAGAAGAUGUGCGAAAGUGUCUUCUUCUCCACUUCAUCCUGGAUUUCCUGUAAUUUAUGGAUUCUGUUGCGAACAAAACUUGGGUAAGCAUUGCUCAUUGCUCCAGCCCCUCCUUGCAAAAUCUCAUAAAUAUCUUCAAGGAAAUCCCACUCUCCUGUAAGAAUAAUCCUAUUCAAAGGAUAGGCCUCCUUAGGGGUGGUGGCAGAGGUGUUAUGAGGUGGAAUGUUUCGAGCAACAUGGGCACUAGCACUUUCAAGAGCCUCCUUGUUAACCACAACAUUAUCAAUUUUCUUGCCCAAAUCUCUCUGUGAUUCAGGAUCAUCUCCCUGCUUCAGAGCCUGUGCUUUUUUAUACUGGCUUACGGAUGCCUUUGAUCCAUAGGCAAGAUUAAGUGCCAUUAUCUUAUCUGCCUUUUUUUCUCCAGAAACCUCCUCAUUUUCCAAAACUGAAGGUUCCUUAUCAGCAGUAUCUAAUCCUCGGACUUUAGGUUGCAAUCUGAAUAUCUUAUUUCCGGCAACAGGCAUAAUCUUCAAAGUCUGAGUCUUCUUAUCAAAAACCCCAAGCGCAUAAGUGCACAACUGAGCAGCCGUAGCCUCACCUUUAUAGCUCUUGCCCACAAAAUCCAUAUCGUACGCAUUAGGAUUCACAACCAGUUCCAUCCUUUCUGAACUUUUCCAUUUAUCAUUCUUUUCAUUGGAACUUUUCUCAAUCUUGGUCCUUUGAGCAUUCCUAUAAAACCUAACAGUUGGCUGUGGAAGUGACAAGUUUUCUUCGUGAUUGGGUUCCUGCGAAUUGUUGCUGUCAUCAUAUUUACGAGGCUCAUAACCAGAAGGGAAAUAUCCCACUAUAGGCGGGGUUUUAUCAGGACGGUCAUAAAUGACUUCAAUUUUGACAUUCAUAGGUGGUUGCUCAUUGGAUUCAUCAACGUUGAGUGGCUGGGCAUUCUGGAUUGAGAUU
Molecule: unclassified non-coding RNA, 1592 nt
Filed under: Hevea brasiliensis (rubber tree)
Lineage: Eukaryota; Viridiplantae; Streptophyta; Magnoliopsida; Malpighiales; Euphorbiaceae
Source: RNAcentral